RNAcentral lists this unclassified non-coding RNA (264 nucleotides) under uncultured fungus. RNAcentral's name for it is "partial contains 5.8S ribosomal RNA, internal transcribed spacer 2, and large subunit ribosomal RNA". Lineage: Eukaryota; Fungi. The record is from RNAcentral.
AACGCACAUUGCGCCUAGCAGCCAUUCUGCUAGGCAUGCCUGUCCGAGCGUCAUUUCACCACUCAAGCUACGCUUGGUGUUGGAGGACCCACUGAUUCAUAUUGUAUGAUUGGUGGGCCGCCGAAAUGAAUCGGCUGUUUAUAUGCAGUUUCCCUGUGUAGUAAAACUUUAUUUACACUUCGAACCUCUUAUACAGCAUGCCGUAAAACAACCCAAUUUUUCUAGGUUGACCUCGGAUCAGGUAGGAAUACCCGCUGAACUUAA